Pelagibacteraceae bacterium GOM-A1 is the source of this 74-nucleotide non-coding RNA. NCBI's taxonomy places the organism in Bacteria, Pseudomonadati, Pseudomonadota, Alphaproteobacteria, Candidatus Pelagibacterales, Candidatus Pelagibacteraceae. The record is from Rfam.
GCACGGGUAGCUCAGUUGGUUAGAGCAGCGGUUUGUGGAACCGAAGGUCGACAGUUCGAAUCUGUCCCCGUGUA